Ictalurus punctatus (channel catfish) is the source of this 1111-nucleotide long non-coding RNA. NCBI's taxonomy places the organism in Eukaryota, Metazoa, Chordata, Actinopteri, Siluriformes, Ictaluridae. The record is from Ensembl.
AUGUAUUGAAUGUAUUAAAAUGGAGAAUGUUAUCACACGUGAUUUGUCACACGCACAUAUACAUCAACAAAACAUUCAGUCAGUGCAUGGAGUGCCUAUUAUUCUGUCUUGUAUUCAUUUACAACAAAAAAACGAAUCGUCCCAUCGUUCACUUAACGGAGUCGGCUCAGAGCCGACUCGUUCGCAAACGACACAUCACUACUCUGCAGAUGGACAUAUCUCAAGGCGUAGUGACUCCCUGUGCCAGAGACCUCAGCCAGGACUGCACAAGUGGGGUAUGAUCAUGCCCUCUGGUGUCUCCAGCUUCUUGCUGGAUUGUAUGGAUUCAGACUUGGAAGCAGGUGACGCACAACCAUCCAUUGAGACUUUUUGCAAAGCUGAUACUUCUGAUGAGGGAACAGGUCUGGUCAGUGAAGAUGAAAUGCUGCACUGCUGUAUCAGGAACUCAACGCUUCUCAGUUUCAGUGACGCUGUGAAUAUCGGAAUGCAGCAUCCUCCAAACCUCUCCUCCAUUCUGGAGCUGUCACCUGUUACUGAUGGACAAACUGCAAAAGGCUCAUUUUCUCUGCCCUUCCUUCAACCUGUGUCACCUCUUGGCUCCUCUGCUUUGGUUGGGCUAUGUGAUAAUUUGACAUCCCCAAAGAAUACCUCAGGAGGUAAAGGCAAAACCACUGGAGUUGAAGAAAGGACUCCUGUAACCAAGAUAACUGCAGCAUUUUCUCCUGCUGUAAAAAAAAAGAUUACCUUCCCAGACCGGCCGAAGACAGAGGAUGUGUGAGGUAGAAGAAUGGUUUCUUUCUUUUUUCUUUUGUUCAGUGUGCAUUGCUGCUCUCACUUAGAUCUCGCGAACACCAUGAUGAAAUAAAGUCUGUUUUUGCAUGUCUCUAAAGCCCUGUUUUGUGAUCAGCAAACCAGGACCUACCUCAGCGAGCUUGGAGGGUGAAAUCCAUUUAAAUCUACUUCAGUAUUAAGCGUAAUAACAGUUUUCAGACAUUAGAAACCACACUCAGUGUGUCACAUGGUAUGAGUCAUAUGCUACAUUAAAAAUAUAUACUUACUUAUUAUACUAUAUUUACUUGUUUACUUGAGGAGAAAAACAUUUGGUUACAGG